This 630-nucleotide ribosomal RNA is filed under the name Triticum aestivum (bread wheat). RNAcentral's name for it is "partial small subunit ribosomal RNA". Lineage: Eukaryota; Viridiplantae; Streptophyta; Magnoliopsida; Poales; Poaceae. The record is from RNAcentral.
AUGACUGGAGAAUUCACUAGAAGAGAAGGGAUGUCAUUUAGAAGGGCACCUAUGGGACGAUUCAAGAAGAGGCCUUUGACGAGGAAGGUGGUGAUGCAGAGCAUACAAAGGAUGACCUUGAUAGGAGCUCAUGUUCAACAUAUUUUGCUUGCUUUGCUGCUGGUGUACCUCGUCGACGUAAGGAAUGCCACCACCGCGGAGUUCUUCUCAAGCGCGGCCACAUUGUCUAGGUCACCGUCUGCUUCACUGAUAGGCUCCUACCUGUGCAUCCACUGCCCUGGCCUCAAGGAAGCCGGUUGUGGCAGGCCCAAAAUCGUCUUCAUGGAGAAGGACUUCCUCGUCCUCUCCAUCUUCUUCCUGCCCGUCCUUAGAGGGCGGCACGAGCACUUCGUCUACAAGGCUAUCCCCGUGUCAUCACUGUGCCUGCUCCUAGGUCCCUACCUAUUCAUCCUCACAUCCUCGGAUCUCGACGUCCUGCCUUAUGAUGAUGACAGCCUCUUUGUCCUGGCCGCCCUAUGCUAUUCACCGAUCCCUUGGGUUUUGACCUCCAUAUCUCCUCCUCCAGGAUCUGGGUUUAGAGGUGCAAAGUGCCACAGGUGGAGCUAUCGCUCCAUGUUAGAGCACAGAUGA